UUGGGCGUACAGAGCUCGUANGCGGUUUGUCGCGUCUGCCGUGAAAGUCCGGGGCUCAACUCCGGAUCUGCGGUGGGUACGGGCAGACUAGAGUGAUGUAGGGGAGACUGGAAUUCCUGGUGUAGCGGUGAAAUGCGCAGAUAUCAGGAGGAACACCGAUGGCGAAGGCAGGUCUCUGGGCAUUAACUGACGCUGAGGAGCGAAAGCAUGGGGAGCGAACAGGAUUAGAUACCCUGGUAGUCCAUGCCGUAAACGUUGGGCACUAGGUGUGGGGGACAUUCCACGUUUUCCGCGCCGUAGCUAACGCAUUAAGUGCCCCGCCUGGGGAGUACGGCCGCAAGGCUAAAACUCAAAGGAAUUGACGGGGGCCCGCACAAGCGGCGGAGCAUGCGGAUUAAUUCGAUGCAACGCGAAGAACCUUACCAAGGCUUGACAUGAACCGGAAACACCUGGAAACAGGUGCCCCGCUUGCGGUCGGUUUACAGGUGGUGCAUGGUUGUCGUCAGCUCGUGUCGUGAGAUGUUGGGUUAAGUCCCGCAACGAGCGCAACCCUCGUUCUAUGUUGCCAGCGCGUUAUGGCGGGGACUCAUAGGAGACUGCCGGGGUCAACUCGGAGGAAGGUGGGGACGACGUCAAAUCAUCAUGCCCCUUAUGUCUUGGGCUUCACGCAUGCUACAAUGGCCGGUACAAAGGGUUGCGAUACUGUGAGGUGGAGCUAAUCCCAAAAAGCCGGUCUCAGUUCGGAUUGGGGUCUGCAACUCGACCCCAUGAAGUCGGAGUCGCUAGUAAUCGCAGAUCAGCAACGCUGCGGUGAAUACGUUCCCGGGC
Molecule: ribosomal RNA, 828 nt
Filed under: Arthrobacter sp. 92 TW
Lineage: Bacteria; Bacillati; Actinomycetota; Actinomycetes; Micrococcales; Micrococcaceae
Description: bacterial SSU rRNA
Rfam family: Bacterial small subunit ribosomal RNA
Source: RNAcentral